Molecule: long non-coding RNA, 14010 nt
Filed under: Nicotiana tabacum (common tobacco)
Lineage: Eukaryota; Viridiplantae; Streptophyta; Magnoliopsida; Solanales; Solanaceae
Description: long non-coding RNA (NTAB_LNC010644)
Source: RNAcentral
UGAUCAUAUGAUAAAAUAUUAUGACACAUGGAACUUCAAGAACAUAGAUAUCUCUAAUACUUCUAUGAAUAGAGUCAUUUAUAGAAUUUUUGCAUUUGUACGUUUCGUUUGUGUCGUAUAGAUCAUGCCAAAAGAAAGAAGGGAUAGACUUAACAUACCUUUGUUGGACUUCUUUAGUAACCACAACGACAACCCUUGCAACACAUGUUAAUCUACGAGAGACGACAAUAACGCAACAACAAUGAAUUAGCAGCAAGCUUGUAGAAGGUCGUUAAUGAUGGAGUGUACUUUUGUUUCCCUUUUUUAAACUUCCUUCCUUUUUGCAUUACUACGAGCUAACUUUGAUCCGCUAACAACCAUAGGGAAUCAGUAUUAGAAACGUAAAAUUGACGGUAGAAUGAAGUAGAGAAAGCUUAAUCCUUUCUUACCUUGAAUAGAAAACGUAUCUGCCCUUAAUAUCACGUUGUUCAUCUUGCCAUUGUACAUUAAUUUGCUGCUCCUUUAGCAAAAGAUACUAUAGUAGCUUAGCAAUAAAGACCUUGUUCAACUUUCCCCCAAAAUGAAUUAAUACAUCCCACUUUGUCAAAAUUUUCCAUCUGCAUUUUUGUUGUAGGUUUGCAAACUCGUAAGCCUUUCACUUUGUCAAUUUAGUGAAGCCGUAAUAGAAUCUUUGAAUCCAAAACAAGAUAAAGUGCACAUGGAUAGUGCCACCUCCUCCUUAAGUAUAAGAUUAGUUGGCAAUUUGGUGUCAUAUCUUCAUAAUCUCACGUGGAUUAUUGUCCCCCCUAAUAAUUAUCAAAUUCUUACUUAAAUAAUUAUCCACGACCUUUAAUUAAUUUGGUUAAUCUCCCAUUAAAUCAAUAAUUAAUCAAUUACCCACAUGAUCAAGAAUUAUCUCAAGUUACUCAAAAUACUAUUCACUUUUAACACAUUUUAUGCACCUUACUAUCAUGGUCAUGUGGUACUUCGUAUGGCACUAGUCCAUAAAUGUCGGGUAUUUUAGUUCGGGCCGUAUUUUACCCCAAAAUGCCAAACUUUGACGAAAAUUCAUUUUCUUUGAAUUGCUUCCCCUUUCACCUUCACGAAUUUACUCAUUACUUGUGAAAUAGCAUAAUUCCUAUUAUCUUCAAAUAAUCUUUUACUUGGACUGAUGUCAAUUACCUUAUGACAAAUUCAACAUACAAUACUACAGGGUACAACAUAUAGUAACUUAAUACUGAGAAGCAUAACAUCAUCGUAAUGUAAUACUGCAAGGCUUAACAUCAUCGUAAUAUUGCGGGGUGUAACAUCUUUUCUAGUCAAUUAGACUUAAUUACUCCAAUCGAGUCUUGACCCACUCAUCAUCAUCAAUUUCAGCUUCAACAACAAUUCAGAGGGAUGGAAUUUCCACUUUCGCGGGUAUAAUGCUUCAGUCCCAUAUACCAACAAACAAGGCAUUGCACCUACUGAAGUGCGAACAGUAGUGCGGUAACCCAACAAAGCAAAAGGCAACUUUUCAUGACAUUGCCUAGAACCUUGCACCAUCUUACGAAGUAUCUUCUUUAUGUUCUUGUUAGCCGCCUGAACAACUCCAUUUUCCUUGGGGCGAUACAGGGUGGAAUUUCGAUGCGUAAUCUUGAACUGUUGGCAUACUUCUUUCAUCAAAUGGCUGUUAAGAUUAGCACCAUUGUCCUUGAUGAUUACCUUGGGGAUUACGAACCAGCAAAUGAUGUUUGAAUGAACAAAAUCAACCACUGCCUCCUUGGUCACAGAUUUGGAAGUCAUAGCUUCAACCCACUUAGUGAAAUAGUCGAUGGCCACCAGAAUAAACCUGUGCCCAUUUGAUGCUGCUAGCUCAAUCGGUCCAAUGACAUCCAUGCCCCAAGCAACAAAAGGCCAAGGUGUGGACAUUGUAUGCAACUCAGACGGCAGAGAAUGAAUCAAGUCACCAUGUACCGACAUUGAUGACACUUGCGCACAGAGCUGAUGCAAUCUCGUUCCAUGGUGAGCCAAUAAUACCCCGCUCAAAGAAUUUUCUUUUCCAAAACAUACCCACUCAUAUGCGGUCUGCAAACUCCGGAAUGCACUUCGGUCAAGAUAGUCGUGGCUUGUUUAGUAUCUAUGCAUCUCAGCAGUCCAAGAUCUGGAGUUCUUUUGUACAAAAUUCCCCCGCUCAAGAAAAAUCCACUAGCCAAGCGUCGAAUUGUUCUUUUUUGAUCACCUGUGGCCUGUACCAGAUACACCCCCAUCUUGAUGUAUUCUCGGAUGUCAUGGAACCACGGUUCACCAUCAAGUUCCUCCUCAACCACAUUAUAGUAGGCAUGCUGAUCACAAACUUAAAUAUGCAGAGGGUCAACAUAAGCUUUGUCCGGAUGGUGUAACAUUGACGCCAAAGUAGCCAAGGCAUCGGCAACCUCAUUAUAGAUCAUAGGAAUAUGCCUGAACUCUACUGAUCUGAACCGUUGACAAAGAUCAUGCAAACAUUAUCGAUACGGUAUGAGCUUUAAAUCUCGAGUCUCCCAUUCUCUAUGGAUCUGGUGCACCAACAGAUCCGAAUCUCCCAAGACCAAGAUUUACUGGACUCCCAUAUAUAAAGCUAACCUUAAACCCAGAAUCCAUGCCUCGUACUCAACCAUGUUAUUAGUACAAUAGAAAUGAAGCUGGGCCGUAACAGGGUAGUGUUGCCCUGUUUCAAAAAUAAGUACAACCCCUAUUCCGAAACCUUUCAUAUUAGCGGCUCCAUCAAAGAAAAGUUUCCAACCUAGCUUUUCAUCCUGCUCCACCUCGUCAAUAUGCAUCACCUCUUCAUCAGGAAAGUAAGUCCGCAGUGACUCAAACUCUUCAUCCACCGAGUUCUCGACCAAAUGAUCGGCCAAUGCUUGAGUUUUCAUCACGGUCCGAGUCACAUAGAUGAUGUCAAACUCUGUGAGCAAAAUUUUCCACUUUGCAAGUCUUCCUGUGGGUAUAGACUUCUGAAAGAUAUACUUUAGAGGAUCCAGAUGAGAAAUAAGGUAAGUAGUGUAGGACGACAGAUAAUGCUUCAACUUUUGUGCCACCCAAGUCAGGGCGCAAUAUGUCCUUUUGAGGGGAGUAUACUUAACCUCAUAGGAUGUAAACUUCUUGCUGAGAUAAUAGAUGGCUUGCUCCUUCCUGCCAGUGAUGUCAUAUUGACCUAACACACAACCAAAGGAAUUAUCUAGGACUGUCAAAUAGAGAAUUAACAGUCUCCCGGGUUCCGACGGGACCAACACAAGUGGGUUUGACAAGUAUCUCUUGAUAUUCUCAAAUGCCUCCUAACACGUAUUAGUCCAUAUCACCACAACAUCCUUCUUCAGCAACUUAAAGAUGGGCUCACAAGAUAUCGUGAGUUGAGCAAUAAACCUGCUAAUGUAGGUUAAACACCUGAGCAAACUCAUCACCUCAGUCUUAUUACUUGGGGUGGCAAUUCUUGGAUAGCUUUGAUAUUUGACGGAUCCAACUCAAUGCCUCGCUGACUGACUAUGAACCGCAACAGUUUUCCAGACGGAACACCAAAUACACACUUGGCAGGGUUGAGCUUAAGAUUGUACCUGCGGAGCCUCUAGAAAAACUUCCUCAAGUCCCCAACAUGGUCGUACUGUUGCUUUGACUUUAUGAUUAUAUCAUCUACAUAAGACUCAAUCUCCUUGUGUAUCGUGUCAUGAAACGCAGUAGUCAUUGCCCUCAUGUAAGUUGUCCCAGUAUUUUUCAAACCAAAUGGCAUUACCCUGUAGCAAUAUGUUCCUCAUGGCAUGAUGAAUGAUGCCUUUUCUGCAUCUUUCUCAUCCAUCAAGAUCUGGUGAUAUCGCGCAUAACAAUCCACAAAAGACCCGAUCUCAUUCUUGACACAGUUAUCAAUCAAAAUAUGGAUAUUUGGUAAUGGAAAAUUAUCAUUUGGACUUGCUUUGUUGAGAUCGCGGUAAUCAACGCAUACCCUGGUCUUACCAUCCUUCUUUGGUACUGGCACAACAUUAGCUAACCAAGUGGGGUAUCGCGUGACUCGAAUGACCUUUUCAUCCAACUGUUUUGUGAUUUCUUCCUUGAUCUUCACACUCAUAUCAAUCUUAAAAUUCCUUAACUUCUGCUUGACGGGAGGGAAUGCCGGAUUAGUUGGCAAUUUGUGAACUACCAAGUCAGUACUCAAACCCGACAUAUCAUCAUAUGACCAUGCAAAAAUGUAUUUAUAUUCAAAUAAUGCUUUGAUUAUUUCUUCCUUGAUUUGUGGUUCCAAGUGUACACUUAUCUUGGUUUCCCUGAUAUUAUUUGGAUCCCCUAAAUUGAUUGUUUCAGUUCAUUCAAAUUAGGCUUGGGUUUCUCUUCAAAAUGAUUUAAUUCUUUACUAAUUUCCUCGAAUGCCUCCUCUUCAUCAUAUUCUGUUUCAUCAUCACACUUUAUUUCUUGAAUUAUUAUUUCAGAGUUAGAUUGGCUUUUAAGACUUGCCCAAAGAUUCCUCAUGCAUGUCAUGUCAUUGAAACCAGCAUAAAAAGAACCGUACAAAGAAAGAAAAAAAAUGACACUAUCAGGAGUAAUGGAAAAAGGGAAAUUGCAUUUCAUUGAAAAUAAAGGAUAUGAGGGUUUGUACAUCAAAACAAGUGAAAAAUAAAAAUCUGGAUUACAACCCUAGAAUAAUCCAGAUAACAGAAAGGAAAAUAAAGCAAACUACCAAGACUCCUUCCGAGUAGGGAGAGGAGUAUCAUUCCAAUUAUUAAGCUUCACUUUCGGCCCAAUAAACUGCACGUCUUCUUUGCUGGAACCCUCCCCAAUUUCUACCAUGUUCACCUCAUCAAAUAGACUCUGGAGCCUUUCAAUCAACUCUUUAUCAAAGUCCACCACAGGCUUUGGAACUGCUGACACAACGUUUCACUACCCCUGACUUGACAAAAGACCUGGAGAGGCGUGGCCGCUCCUUAAGCCUUUUUCUUAAGGAUGGUUUUAGCUUUUUUCACAUCAUCCCUGUAGGCUUGAACCCCAGACCAAAUGUACCCAAAUUUUCACGUAGAGACACUGGCUGCACGAUACCUUGCAAAGAUGCGCCCAGACCCUUGCCGGCACAAAACCAUUCUUCAACAUUUCAUUUGCUACCAUGAUGGUCGCAGAAGCUAGCUUUAGACCUAGAAUGUAUUCUCCUUCUGGAACCUUCUCAACUGACACUGUUUCGGAAACUUGGUACACCCAAGGCCCCUUAUCAUCUUCAGCCUCAAUAAACAGGACGGAUGUAUCAUUAUAAGCACAUAAGUUCUCAUCACCAUGCAUAACUAUUUCCUAUCUAUCCUACUUGAACUUUACCAUCUGGUGCAAAGAAGACGGGACUGCUUUGGCAACAUAUAUCCAGGGCCUACCUAAUAGCAAAUUGUAAGAAACGGCCAUAUCCAAUGCCUGGAACUCCAUGGUAAAUUCAAUUGGUCCUAUUGUCAGUUCGAGCAUGAUAUUGCCAACAUAAUAUUUUCCCUCUCCGUCAAAACCUCGGACACAUAUAUUGUUCUUGUGGAUCAUCUUAGCAUCAAUUUUCAACUUGUGCAGAGUGGAGAGAGGGCAAAUGUUUGCACUAGAACCAUUGUCAACUAACACCCUAGUGACCACAGAAUCUUCGCAUUUCACUAUGAGAUAAAAAGCCCAAUUGUGUUCCGUACCCUCCAGAGGAAGCUCAUCAUCCGAGAAGGUGAUCCUGUUUGACUCAACUAUCUUAUUGGCAAUCUUCUCCAAAUGGUUCUCUGUGAUCAUGUCAGGGACAUGAGCUUCAUUCAGAAUCUUCAUGAGGGCCCAGCGGUGCUCGUCUGAAUGUAUCAACAAUGAAAGAAGAGAAAUCUGAGCGAGGGUCUUUCUCAAUUGUUCCACUACUGAGUAAUCCUGCACCUUCAUUUUUCUCAAAUAUUCUUCCGCCUCCUCUUCAGUGACUGGUUUCUUCACUAGAAUUGGAAUAUCUUUCAGUGGCUUAGCUUUCCUUAGUUCCUCUGGGGAAAAGCAUCUCCCCGAACGAGUCAAGCCAUGGUUUCAUUAACUUCCUCUUUCACUUUUUUCCCUUUAUAAGUUACUAUCACUCGCUUGUAAUUCCAUGGAACAACCUUGGUGUUAUCUAUUGGCAACUGGGUCACGAGUUUAAUAAUAAUAGGGGUAAUGCAAGCCCCUUCCACAAUAAUGACAGGCUCACUUGCUACCCCCGGACAACCACUUUUGUCUUUCCUUGCUUUGUUUUAACAUCAUCUGGGAUCCUCUUCACGACUACCACAGGCGGCCUAUCAUUGGGCGUGCUCAGUUUGUUUGUCAGCUCUUCAGCUAUCGAAGAUGUUGUCUUUGUAACAUUUGGAGUUUUGACUGGCUUACUUUCACUGGCACGGAUCAUCAUAACAGACUUUAAAGGCUUCUUAGGCUCCCCAUCCUUAUGCACUAUCUCAAUCAUAUGCAUUUUGGCAUGGGCUAAUCGAUUUUGAUUGAUGUUCGGAGUUUCCGGACUCUGGACCACAAUUUGGUUUGUAUUGAUGAGCUCCUGGAUGGCAUUCUUCAAAUGCCAACAUUUUUCUGUGUCGUGCCCCAGAGCAUAAGAACAAUAUGCACAUCUGAGGGAAUGAUCCAGGUUCUUUGGAGGGGGGUUUGGUAGUUUUGACUCAAUUGGCCUUAAAACAUCCAACUGCCUCAACCUUUGAAAUAAGCUGGUAUAAGACUCCCCAAGCGGGGUGAAAGUUUUCUUCCGCUGCAGCCUUUCAUUUCUAUACUCUGGCAUAGGUCAAAAGUUUGGACCAGUAGGGUUUCGAUAUGUUCAUGGAGGGAGGUAAGGAUUUUGUGGAGCUGGUGCACGCUAUUGCGGGUAAGGAAGGGGUUGAGCAUAUGACUAUGUGUGGUGGACAUGGUAUUGGGGUGGCCUGACUGAAUACUGCAACUUUGGUGGUGAGAAGUAGGGUUGGAGUGGAUUAUAUGGAGUUUGGGUGUAGGUUUGAGGCUGGGUGUAGUGGUAGGGGAGCCCCUUGGGUCGUGCCACGAUCUUGAGAUAACCAUAGCAACAUUUUCUUUCUUCUUUUUCCCUAACAAGCCCCCAGUGCCAUUCUGGAUUGCUUGCGUAGUUGCUUUGAUGGCAAAGUAACUCAUGAUCUUGCUCGAUUUGAGUCCUUCCUCUACCAUUCCUCCCAUCUUAACCACUUCAUUGAAAGACUUGCCUAUAGCCAGGCUCCAAGGCCUGAAGAAAAUACUCCACCAUUUCAUCUUCCUCCAUUGGAGGGUUGACUCGUGCCGCCUGUUCUCUCCAACGGAAACCAUACUCCCUGAAACUCUCACUGGGCUUUUUCUCUAUCUUAGUCAAAGAAAAGCGGUCUAGGACAAUCUUUACAUUUUACUGGAAAUGCCGAGCAAAAACCUGGGCAAGAUUAUCCCAAGUGUACCACCUGUUGUUGUCCUGGCGGGUGUACCACUCCAAUGCUGCACCACUCAGACUUUUGGCUAUAAUAUGCCAUCAACAGUUCAUCUUUCCCACCGGCUUCCCUCAUUUUGCUGCAAAAUCCUCUCAAGUGGGACAUGGGGUCUCCGUGCCCCUCAUACAAGUUAAACUUGGGCAUUUUGAAUCCAACAGGUAGCUGGACAUCAGGAAACAAGCAUAUAUCCUUAUAAGCCACGCUCACUUGCCCCCCUAAUCCUUGCAUAUUUCUCAGUGACUGCUCCAAGCUCUUUACCUUCAUAAAUAUCUCCUCGUGCUCCUUGUUUUUGGGUGGCUUCUCAGUUUUGACAGGAAGCUCGAAGUGGGGAGUGUAGGAGUAGUGAUCUGGGACUUUGAAGGUGGGCUCUGGGGCAUAGUAAUGGUUAUAUUGGGCUUGGAAUACUGGCUCACUGGAAGAUCGAUGGAGUGUAGCCGGUGGAGGUGCUACGAAGACAUGGGUAGCUGGCGGAGGGGGUAUGUGGUUGCUUUGGCUGGUGGAGCUUGGGUGGUUUGGGAAGUUAUGCCAUGAUAGUGGUGGUAAGGGGUGAAGCUUGGAGCAUGUUGUGGGGAUAAAUCAACAGUGGGAGGCUCUUGAGAUUAAGUCAGUAGUGGGAUGAAAGCAGGGUUGGCGGGAUAUGAUGGUGGAGGAUGCCCUUUCAUCCAUGCCUGGUACAUUUCGGCCAUUUGGUGCUUCAGCUUAUGUAACUCCUCUUUCAAACCAGGCUCAGAUUCCUCCUCCUCUCUCGGUGGGUCAAUAACACUCGCGUCCAAUUCUUUUCCAGCCAUGAUUGCCUUGUGUUUAGACCUGGUAUUGUAUGGGUGGGUUGCCAGAAUGCCAAACAAACUAACCACCUUCCUGAUCUUAAUGACAACAUCAAACUUAUUAGUGUUUAAGAUUUAACAGAAGGCAACUACACGUUUGGGAUGCAAUGCACCUGAACAAUUAAAAGUUUGUACUAUGUAUUUGAACGGUUGCAUGUCUCAUCCCGGCUUUAAAUAACUCUUUUCACUUUGCACUUUCUUUCUCUCUUUCCCUUUUUUUCUUUUUAUCACUACUUCCCUUUUGAGUCACUAUUGAUUUUCCCACUCGGAUCUUGUCGCUCCCUUUUUUCUCGCUUUUGUUCUCUUGUUUUGCCAUUCUUUCUUUCCACUCAAUUUCUUUUUUUUUUAUUUUCUCUCUUUUUUUUCUUUUCAUUUUAUGGUUAUGAUUGAAUACUAUGGGGAUUGCUUACGUAUCAUGACGCCGCAUGAAUCAGAUCAUUACGUAGUUCAGGGGAUAAAUGCGAAAUAAAAGAAAGAUAUAAUUUUUUUUGGGUUUUCAAAUUUUCAUUAAAUAAAAACAUUUCGGUUUUUCCUCUAUUACAACGACUCUGCCCUAAAAACUCAAGCAUUACAAUAACUAAAACAAGACUCAAAAUGGACUAAAAAAACUCCAAAAGAAACUGCAAUACAGACUCGAAAAAUAAAAUCAAGAAUACAUAAGUGCCCCUACUGCUGCUCCAGGGGCUCGCGGGCCAUUAAUCGGUCUCGCCGCGGACCUACGUGCCAUAUCUUCUCGGAGGUGAUAUAGAUCGUCCAUUAUAUGACGGACAAAAAUCAUAACUGCAGCGAAAAACAUGGACCUGGUCAUGUCCUCACAUUCGUUGCACUUCAUCACAAUAUAGUCAACAAUCCUUCUAACCCUCUCCCUGAUGAUACCCUUCUCUUGUCGCAGAUGUCCAAUCUGUUGAGAUCUGGCCUCCAAAACCUGUGUGGCCGUAUGAUUUUGCUCUUGCAGUUGUUGUAGGUAUUUUUCUAGUUGCGACAUCAGGGCAUAGCAGUGUUCUCUUUCUGCUUUGAAGUCUCUUACCUACUUGGUCAUUUCCCUCUCAAGGGUAUUGAUCUUUUUCUUCAGACCCAUGAUUCUUUUGUCGUACUUUUCCUUCAACUGUCGAAUGAAGCUUGCCCGUCCCUCCGCAUUCUGAGCUAACUUUGCUUGGGCUUUUGCUAGUUCACCUUCAGUCUUUUCCAAAUCAAAUCCAUAGUCACAUACUUUCCACCUGAGGCUGUCUAUAAGUUUCUCAUCUUUUCCACUUCUGGCAGGGUUCUCAGCUGCUAUUUUCAUCUUCUGGAUUUGGGCUCGGAUGGCUUCAUUUUCUUAGGCCAACCUCCUUAUUUCACCUUCUGCUUCUUGCGCCUGGAGAUCAUUAUUGAAUUCGAUGUUUCUCAAUUUUUCUUCUAGGGUAUGAAUGGCGGCUUGAUAUUUUUUCUCCUUUUCUCCCCAGGCCAACCUUUCUCGGACUUUAUCAUCAAAAGCCUGAACAUGAGGUCUCUUGGCGGGCCUCUCGGGCUCAUUAUUUUCACUAGACCUUCUCUCAAACCACACGGCAUAAUCUGGAUCCACCUCCCCCUUUGCAACAUUUGGUACCUGGGUGCCAUUUUUCAGAUAUCAGCAACCAUUCCAAUCCUGCUGGACUAAAGCUUCGGGCAAUGUAACUUCUAGAUGUAGCUCAAUGACCUGGGAGGUUAGAUCUUCAUCUUCGGGCACCACCUGGUAUCUCCCUAACUACCUUAAGACUCUUUGCGGUGCAUAUGGCUGGACACUCCUCAAACCCUAUCAACAUUAGGUAACUCUUUGUAACCGUCAUAUGUAUGAUUUUUAUCACCGGGAGCCAUCCUAUAGUCCACUCGACCUAACUUGCUUUUAGAGUUUUCAAGUGGGAGACCCAGGCUUCAAACCCUUCUGGAGCAUUGUAUUCUUUCACCCUUUUCUUGUAACUCUUGAUGAAGUUAUCUUUACUUGAACCAUAGCUCAUGAAUUUGGGGUGAUGGCGGAGAUGCUCGACCAACCACAUUUGUAGAAGAACAUUACAGCCUUCAAAGAAUUGAGCCCCGGACUUACACAAUGUCAAUGCUCGAUAAAUGUUUGCCAGCACUAACAGAGCAAAUGUGUGAUCUUUUUUAGUGAUGAGGGUUUAUGCAAUUCUGGCCAUGCGGAUAUCUAUUGUCCCUUCUGCAUUCGGAAAGACUAUAAUUCCUAAAAAUGCCACUAUGAAAGCAAAUCGACAAUGAAUUUCCUAGAUACUCUUAUCAUGUUUGUUGUUUAAUCCCUUUUCAUGCGUUUCGAACCCAGCUGAGUGCCCAAACCUGAAAUACAAGAAGUAGAAGGAACAACAUCCUCUGUUUAUAUGGGCUUUCUUCAUCUGCUUACUGAUACUCAGGAGAUCAAAGAACUUGUGCAUAGAGGGAGCCCUUGGGAAUAUAAGUUUAUGUUUCCUCAAGUCCCGACCAAAGUCAAUAUAUCCGGCUAUUUCCUCCAAAGUAGGAGUGAGCUCAAAAUUCGAGAAACGAAAAAUGUUAUGGACAGGAUCCCAAAAAGUUACCAAAGCCUUGAUUAGAUCCUCCCGCAGUUUGAUUUCCAUAAUGUCUAUAAGGGUACCCAAUUUCUCUUUUACCCAAUCUUGACCAUCUUCAUCUAGAUCAUUCCACCACAUACGAAGCUGCAGCUGAGCCUGUUGUAUGACCAAUUGCAAUGGUUUCUGGACAGUGUUCAUUUGUACCUGUGGAUGGUAUAGGUUAGGGUUGACUCCGGUGGACUCUUUUGUGAAAUAAGUUUUCAAUUUCUAAAAGAGAAAAUCUACGGAAAAUGGCCCCCUAUGCUAUUUUAACAAAAGUGGUCGUUUUUGUAAACGCGCCCCUUUCACAAUUCCAAAUAAAUUUUGAGGUCGGGGGAAGGUACUUCAUGGAAAAAUGACACCUUAUCGACAGACUUAUCCGUUAUUUACGAAAAUAGCUCUUCGACAAUUGAAAGAUAUUCUAGGGCUAUUUCGGCAAGAACGGCUUAAGACAUAACCGAAGUUGGGUCCGCUUAUUUUUUUACCAAAGACCUAAACUACACUUUAUUUGAUUAUUUUUUUUAUUUGUUUUGCAAAAAUGAGGUCAAACCUUAUGUAGGUUGCCUACGUAUCUCACAUCCGGUGAGAAUUAGACAUGCGUAGUUUGGUCAAUUUUGACAAAAUCGGAAAAGACAUGUUAUUGACCCAUUUUGAGAUGACUCUUUUUCCUUAACUCCUUUUUUAAAAAAUUUCGGCAAAGUUUCGAGACAUUUUCAAAUACUGGAAUUUUCAGAACUGGGCUUUAUUUCUUUCCUACAUCACUCUUGGUUUUUCUCUUGAUUUUCUUUUCCUAGCCGGUCAACAUGCAAGCCGAAAUAAAUAAAUGUUCAUAUAGCACGUAUGAUGCACCAAGAUAGUCUGUUAUUUUGGGUACACCUGUCUUAGACGUACCCAACCCCUGUGUUGAAUCCCCAAAGUCAAAUGCACGUGAUGCAAACAAACGUUCCUACUAGGGAUCCGACAUGAGGUUAUUCUAGAUUUAAAUCUAGGGUUGUGUUCUAGACCUGGAUUACCCGAGUGGACAGCUCGAGCCGAGAUGGGGGCAACGUACCGGGAGCACUAAAGUCUACCCGGCCUUGUUGCUGGCCCAGCCUCACUCUAUAUGGUAUAACUUCUAACAGAAAAAUGGGCCAUGUGAACGUGUGCACCAUUUUUAGAAGACUCGAAUGGGAGGCGUAAUAAGACAGUUUAAUACAAUUCAAAUAAUAUCAAAGUGAUAAAUAAGCAGCAGUUAGCACAUUAGGUCCACAAAUACGAUAAUAUGAACAAUAAAUAAAGCCAAGUAAAAAUCACAAAACAAGCUCGAAUUCUUGAACCUUGAACCAGAGAUUCUGGGUUCUUGUCCCCAGUAGAGUUGUCAGAGCUGUCACACCUUCUUUUUCUACCCCGAAAGGGAUAUAAGGGAGUUUUUUUUUCAAUUAAAGUGACAAUAAUUGAAACGGGAUUAUUUAUUCAAAUUCAGAGUCGCCACUUGGGAAUUAUGGUGUCCCAAGUCACCGGUUUAAAAUCCUGAAUCGAGGAAGUUUGACUCUAUUUAUGGUCUACGAACACAGAAGACCGGGUAAGGAAUUCUGUUAACCGGGGAGAAGGUGUUAGGCAUUCUCGGGUUCCGUGGUUUUAGCACGAUCGCUUUGAUCAUGCCUGGCUUAUUAAAUUGUCUUAUCACUUGUUUUAUAGCCUAUGUGCAUUUACCCCCUUAACCGCUUUUAAUUACUUGAUUUAUUCAUAAUUAUGGAGUUAUCUUAAAAUGAGUCACGCGUACGUGUACUCAUUUCAUUCGGUGCGUCAAGAAUCAUGUCACGCGUACGUUUCCAUAAUUUCUAACACUUAGUUUAUUCAAAAAAAGGUUUGGUCAAAGUUGUGCGAACGCAUAUUUUGAAUUUAUUUGAAAGGAACGUAAUCAUGAUAAAAACAACAAAAAUCACGCCUAAAAGCCUUUAUACGAAUAUUCAUUUUAAAAAUCGUACUCGUGUCACGCGAACGUGUACACAAUUCAAAACAUUUUAUUAUUAUUAAGACUGUUUCGCCUAAGGUUGCACGAACGCAUACCUUGAUUUUAAUUAUAAAAGAAUCAUAACUAUGUCACAUGAACGUGUACACAAUCACGAUAAUUUGAUUAAUUAAGAGCGCGCCUAAAGCAUCUCACAAUGAGAAUUAUCUAAGAACUAUUUAUGGAAGGAAUGUGGGAGGGCCUAAGGCAACACUAGUUCUAAUGGCAUAUUAAUUCUUAUCUAGCAAUCCAAAUUAUGUGUACUUUUUACAUGAAAAAAUAUAUUUAAUAUAUAUGUAUUUAUUUUUACCAUUCAACAUAUUUAGAAAGUGUAAAAAUAGAAGAAAUGUGUAUUUUUUUUAAAAUAAUCCUUGUGCACUGGAUAUCAAGUAGGAAACAGAAGAUUCAAAAUUUGAGAUAGAAUGCAGCAAAUUCAGCAGCCGAAAUGAUUUUCGUGAAAGAAUAUGUAUUCUCCUCCCUAUUACUAUUUGAAAUCCUUGAGCUUUGAAAUCUAUGAUACCAAGGGAAUUCGAUGAUAACAAGUAUCUCUACCAACAGGCAACAUCAACAACUCUCAAAUCACAAAAACUUUUCAAGCUUAAGGAUUCUUUACGAAGAAAUACUACUAUUGUCUAUCUCUAAUAAAGCAUAGCAAGGCAAUAACAGUAAAGGAAAACGGGUCAAAAAUACAAAGAGUUGGAGGAUAGAUUAUACAUUAACUCAAAUAACAAAUAAAGUAAACCAACCAGGUAUUGACGACAACGUGUGAACUAGAUCAAAAUGACUGACCUUUUAUAUACAUGAAGUUGAAUACAACAAUGUAAACUCGACGAGAGAACUCGAACAAGAUGGACCAGGCAUGGAGAACUUCGCCGGCGACUCCAAACGGAACUCGAACAAGAUGGACCGACGACUGGAGCUUUCAAAUGACAACUUCAGGCGAGGAAAUCGGACUGUUUCACGGAGGUUUCAGGUAGGUUUCAUGGCUGUUGGCUGAGGUUCUAGGCGAUGAUUUUCGGGGACGAUUUGGCUGCUUUAAUGGCGUCCAUGGCUGGACGUUCUAUGGCAGUCUUGGGGUGAUUCAAAGCUGAAGUUGGGGGUUGUCUUGGACGCGGAGAAGGGCUGCAACGGCAGAUCUCGUUUGAAGGAGGGCGUUAGGUAGUGUGUAUGUGUAUGUAUUUUUUUGAGUUGAAGGCUGGUGAUCUUGGGUCUGGAGAAGAUGAAGGAGAACGACUGCUAUAUCUCUU